UAAAUCCUGCGGUGUUCGUGAUAAGCGAUUUUUAAUUUACCAACACGUUUAAUACGGGAAUUUGCGUUCGUUUGUGGCAUAUACGCCCCCCUUUAUAUAAGGUCAGGGGACAUAUAAAGCAAACGGCAGAAUACCCACCUGCAUCUGCAGGUAAAAAUUAAUCGUAUCUACACGGCAUUGCGGGAUUAUU
Molecule: non-coding RNA, 190 nt
Filed under: Oscillospiraceae bacterium
Lineage: Bacteria; Bacillati; Bacillota; Clostridia; Eubacteriales; Oscillospiraceae
Description: 6S RNA
Rfam family: 6S / SsrS RNA
About the family: E. coli 6S RNA was the first non coding RNA to be sequenced, but its function was unknown until recently. It consists of 184 nucleotides that fold into an extended hairpin structure with a large single-stranded internal bulge.
Source: RNAcentral